AUUGAACGCUAGCGGCAUGCCUUACACAUGCAAGUCGAACGGCAGCACGGGGCCACCUGGUGGCGAGUGGCGAACGGGUGAGUAAUGUAUCGGAACGUGCCCAGUAGCGGGGGAUAACUACGCGAAAGCGUAGCUAAUACCGCAUACGCCCUACGGGGGAAAGGGGGGGAUCGCAAGACCUCUCACUAUUGGAGCGGCCGAUAUCGGAUUAGCUAGUUGGUGAGGUAAAGGCUCACCAAGGCUUCGAUCCGUAGCUGGUUUGAGAGGACGACCAGCCACACUGGGACUGAGACACGGCCCAGACUCCUACGGGAGGCAGCAGUGGGGAAUUUUGGACAAUGGGGGCAACCCUGAUCCAGCAAUGCCGCGUGUGCGAAGAAGGCCUUCGGGUUGUAAAGCACUUUUGGCGGGAACGAAACGGUGCCGGAUAAUACCUGGCGCCACUGACGGUACCCGCAGAAUAAGCACCGGCUAACUACGUG
Molecule: ribosomal RNA, 482 nt
Filed under: uncultured bacterium
Lineage: Bacteria
Description: partial 16S ribosomal RNA
Rfam family: Bacterial small subunit ribosomal RNA
Source: RNAcentral